ACCGUAGGACACGAUCGUUAUCCGGAUUUACUGGGCGUAAAGCGCGGGCAGGCGGCGGGCCAAGUCGGAUGUGAAAGCUCCCGGCUCAACCGGGAGAGGCCAUUCGAAACUGGCGUGCUGGAGGGCAGGAGAGGAGCGCGGAAUUCCGGGUGGAGUGGUGAAAUGCGUAGAGAUCCGGAGGAACACCAGAGGCGAAAGCGGCGCUCUGGCCUGCAACUGACGCUGAACCGCGAAAGCCAGGGUAGAGAACGGG
This 253-nucleotide ribosomal RNA is filed under the name uncultured bacterium. Its description in RNAcentral is "partial 16S ribosomal RNA". It matches the Rfam family "Bacterial small subunit ribosomal RNA", at positions 524 to 776 of the family's 1533-position model. The record is from RNAcentral.